Molecule: transfer RNA, 74 nt
Filed under: Myxococcales bacterium
Lineage: Bacteria; Pseudomonadati; Myxococcota; Myxococcia; Myxococcales
Description: tRNA-OTHER
Source: RNAcentral
UGCGGAGAGGGUUGGAUCCCAGCUCGGUUUCAUAGGCCGACGCCCAGCAGGUUCGAUUCCUGCCUCCGCAACCA